UAAAAGAUAGUUUAAAUUUAAAAUAAUACUAUUACAAAGUAUAGAUCUGUGGUUAGUCUUUUAA
Molecule: transfer RNA, 64 nt
Filed under: Pyura mirabilis
Lineage: Eukaryota; Metazoa; Chordata; Ascidiacea; Stolidobranchia; Pyuridae
Description: tRNA-Val
Source: RNAcentral